GAGUGGCGGACGGGUGAGUAAUGUCUGGGAAACUGCCUGAUGGAGGGGGAUAACUACUGGAAACGGUAGCUAAUACCGCAUAACGUCGCAAGACCAAAGAGGGGGACCUUCGGGCCUCUUGCCAUCGGAUGUGCCCAGAUGGGAUUAGCUUGUUGGUGGGGUAACGGCUCACCAAGGCGACGAUCCCUAGCUGGUCUGAGAGGAUGACCAGCCACACUGGAACUGAGACACGGUCCAGACUCCUACGGGAGGCAGCAGUGGGGAAUAUUGCACAAUGGGCGCAAGCCUGAUGCAGCCAUGCCGCGUGUAUGAAGAAGGCCUUCGGGUUGUAAAGUACUUUCAGCGGGGAGGAAGGGAGUAAAGUUAAUACCUUUGCUCAUUGACGUUACCCGCAGAAGAAGCACCGGCUAACUCCGUGCCAGCAGCCACGGUAAUACGGAGGGUGCAAGCGUUAAUCGGAAUUACUGGGCGUAAAGCGCACGCAGGCGGUUUGUUAAGUCAGAUGUGAAAUCCCCGGGCUCAACCUGGGAACUGCAUCUGAUACUGGCAAGCUUGAGUCUCGUAGAGGGGGGUAGAAUUCCAGGUGUAGCGGUGAAAUGCGUAGAGAUCUGGAGGAAUACCGGUGGCGAAGGCGGCCCCCUGGACGAAGACUGACGCUCAGGUGCGAAAGCGUGGGGAGCAAACAGGAUUAGAUACCCUGGUAGUCCACGCCGUAAACGAUGUCGACUUGGAGGUUGUGCCCUUGAGGCGUGGCU
RNAcentral lists this ribosomal RNA (755 nucleotides) under uncultured bacterium. RNAcentral describes it as "bacterial SSU rRNA". It matches the Rfam family "Bacterial small subunit ribosomal RNA", at positions 93 to 844 of the family's 1533-position model. The record is from RNAcentral.